UACUUAUCCAGAAAGACCGAGGGAUUGGGCCCGAUGACGUCUUAGCAACCUGAAAUAAAAUAAGGUGCUAACUCCCGUUUCGGGCCGUUUUGCGGGCUGGAAGAAGAUAAGUU
RNAcentral lists this non-coding RNA (113 nucleotides) under Hymenobacter sp. RNAcentral describes it as "SAM-I sequence". It matches the Rfam family "SAM riboswitch aptamer (S box leader)". From Rfam's summary of the family: The SAM riboswitch is found upstream of a number of genes which code for proteins involved in methionine or cysteine biosynthesis in Gram-positive bacteria. Lineage: Bacteria; Pseudomonadati; Bacteroidota; Cytophagia; Cytophagales; Hymenobacteraceae. The record is from RNAcentral.